AUGCAGUUGAGGAGUCUCACAUAGGACGAAACGUGCGUCAAACUGGAU
Molecule: non-coding RNA, 48 nt
Organism: Schistosoma mansoni
Lineage: Eukaryota; Metazoa; Platyhelminthes; Trematoda; Strigeidida; Schistosomatidae
Source: Rfam